CAGCAGCCGCGGUAAUACGUAGGGUGCAAGCGUUAAUCGGAAUUACUGGGCGUAAAGCGUGCGCAGGCGGUUUGUUAAGACAGAUGUGAAAUCCCCGGGCUCAACCUGGGAACUGCAUUUGUGACUGGCAAGCUAGAGUGUGGCAGAGGGGGGUGGAAUUCCGCGUGUAGCAGUGAAAUGCGUAGAUAUGCGGAGGAACACCGAUGGCGAAGGCAGCCCCCUGGGCCAACACUGACGCUCAUGCACGAAAGCGUGGGGAGCAAACAGGAUUAGAGACCCGCGUAGUCCCUGUCUCUUAUAC
RNAcentral lists this ribosomal RNA (301 nucleotides) under uncultured bacterium. RNAcentral's name for it is "partial 16S ribosomal RNA". It matches the Rfam family "Bacterial small subunit ribosomal RNA", at positions 509 to 807 of the family's 1533-position model. The record is from RNAcentral.